Molecule: small RNA, 339 nt
Filed under: Salvator merianae (Argentine black and white tegu)
Lineage: Eukaryota; Metazoa; Chordata; Lepidosauria; Squamata; Teiidae
Description: 7SK RNA (ENSSMRG00000015043.1)
Rfam family: 7SK RNA (bases 1-183)
About the family: 7SK was discovered as an abundant small nuclear RNA in the mid-70s but a possible function has only recently been suggested.
Source: Rfam by way of RNAcentral
GGAUGUGAUGGUGAUCUGUCUGCAGCAUCUGUCAUCCCGUCGAUCACUAUGUUUGGCCCAUCUGAUCUGGCUGGCUACCUGGAUGUCUCCUUCCUCACUCAGCACUCCAUGUGCAUCCCUCUUUAUUUUUACAUUUACCUCUUACUUUCCUCCAAGGAGUUCAAGGAGCAGACAUGUAUCUCCUCUCCGUUUCAGUGGCACAAGAACCUGUGAGAUCAGCAAUUUCCCUCACUUUGCACCGUCAGGGGCUUAGAUAUUUUGAUCGUUUGGUGAAGAUAAAGGCUUUAUAAAAGCAUUUACAAAAUGCUUCUUCAUUGCUUUGCAUUUAAGAAUAUUGUC